Molecule: ribosomal RNA, 254 nt
Filed under: uncultured bacterium
Lineage: Bacteria
Description: partial 16S ribosomal RNA
Rfam family: Bacterial small subunit ribosomal RNA
Source: RNAcentral
CACGUAGGGGGCAAGCGUUGUCCGGAUUUAUUGGGCGUAAAGAGCUCGUAGGCGGUUCGGUAAGUCGGGUGUGAAACCUCCAGGCUCAACCUGGAGAUGCCACCUGAUACUGCUGUGACUCGAGUCCGGUAGGGGAGCGUGGAAUUCCUGGUGUAGCGGUGAAAUGCGCAGAUAUCAGGAGGAACGCCAGCGGCGAAGGCGGCGCUCUGGGCCGGAACUGACGCUGAGGAGCGAAAGCGUGGGUAGCAAACAGG